Molecule: ribosomal RNA, 1552 nt
Filed under: Salmonella enterica subsp. enterica
Lineage: Bacteria; Pseudomonadati; Pseudomonadota; Gammaproteobacteria; Enterobacterales; Enterobacteriaceae
Also listed under: 3 other names
Description: bacterial SSU rRNA
Rfam family: Bacterial small subunit ribosomal RNA
Source: RNAcentral
AAAUUGAAGAGUUUGAUCAUGGCUCAGAUUGAACGCUGGCGGCAGGCCUAACACAUGCAAGUCGAACGGUAACAGGAAGCAGCUUGCUGCUUCGCUGACGAGUGGCGGACGGGUGAGUAAUGUCUGGGAAACUGCCUGAUGGAGGGGGAUAACUACUGGAAACGGUGGCUAAUACCGCAUAACGUCGCAAGACCAAAGAGGGGGACCUUCGGGCCUCUUGCCAUCAGAUGUGCCCAGAUGGGAUUAGCUUGUUGGUGAGGUAACGGCUCACCAAGGCGACGAUCCCUAGCUGGUCUGAGAGGAUGACCAGCCACACUGGAACUGAGACACGGUCCAGACUCCUACGGGAGGCAGCAGUGGGGAAUAUUGCACAAUGGGCGCAAGCCUGAUGCAGCCAUGCCGCGUGUAUGAAGAAGGCCUUCGGGUUGUAAAGUACUUUCAGCAGGGAGGAAGGUGUUGUGGUUAAUAACCGCAGCAAUUGACGUUACCCGCAGAAGAAGCACCGGCUAACUCCGUGCCAGCAGCCGCGGUAAUACGGAGGGUGCAAGCGUUAAUCGGAAUUACUGGGCGUAAAGCGCACGCAGGCGGUCUGUCAAGUCGGAUGUGAAAUCCCCGGGCUCAACCUGGGAACUGCAUUCGAAACUGGCAGGCUUGAGUCUUGUAGAGGGGGGUAGAAUUCCAGGUGUAGCGGUGAAAUGCGUAGAGAUCUGGAGGAAUACCGGUGGCGAAGGCGGCCCCCUGGACAAAGACUGACGCUCAGGUGCGAAAGCGUGGGGAGCAAACAGGAUUAGAUACCCUGGUAGUCCACGCCGUAAACGAUGUCUACUUGGAGGUUGUGCCCUUGAGGCGUGGCUUCCGGAGCUAACGCGUUAAGUAGACCGCCUGGGGAGUACGGCCGCAAGGUUAAAACUCAAAUGAAUUGACGGGGGCCCGCACAAGCGGUGGAGCAUGUGGUUUAAUUCGAUGCAACGCGAAGAACCUUACCUGGUCUUGACAUCCACAGAACUUUCCAGAGAUGGAUUGGUGCCUUCGGGAACUGUGAGACAGGUGCUGCAUGGCUGUCGUCAGCUCGUGUUGUGAAAUGUUGGGUUAAGUCCCGCAACGAGCGCAACCCUUAUCCUUUGUUGCCAGCGAUUAGGUCGGGAACUCAAAGGAGACUGCCAGUGAUAAACUGGAGGAAGGUGGGGAUGACGUCAAGUCAUCAUGGCCCUUACGACCAGGGCUACACACGUGCUACAAUGGCGCAUACAAAGAGAAGCGACCUCGCGAGAGCAAGCGGACCUCAUAAAGUGCGUCGUAGUCCGGAUUGGAGUCUGCAACUCGACUCCAUGAAGUCGGAAUCGCUAGUAAUCGUGGAUCAGAAUGCCACGGUGAAUACGUUCCCGGGCCUUGUACACACCGCCCGUCACACCAUGGGAGUGGGUUGCAAAAGAAGUAGGUAGCUUAACCUUCGGGAGGGCGCUUACCACUUUGUGAUUCAUGACUGGGGUGAAGUCGUAACAAGGUAACCGUAGGGGAACCUGCGGUUGGAUCACCUCCUUACCUUAAAGAA